GCGCUGCAUUAGCUAGUUGGUAAGGUAACGGCUUACCAAGGCAACGAUGCAUAGCCGACCUGAGAGGGUGAUCGGCCACACUGGAACUGAGACACGGUCCAGACUCCUACGGGAGGCAGCAGUAGGGAAUCUUCCGCAAUGGGCGAAAGCCUGACGGAGCAACGCCGCGUGAGUGAUGAAGGUCUUCGGAUCGUAAAACUCUGUUAUUAGGGAAGAACAUAUGUGUAAGUAACUGUGCACAUCUUGACGGUACCUAAUCAGAAAGCCACGGCUAACUACGUGCCAGCAGCCGCGGUAAUACGUAGGUGGCAAGCGUUAUCCGGAAUUAUUGGGCGUAAAGCGCGCGUAGGCGGUUUUUUAAGUCUGAUGUGAAAGCCCACGGCUCAACCGUGGAGGGUCAUUGGAAACUGGAAAACUUGAGUGCAGAAGAGGAAAGUGGAAUUCCAUGUGUAGCGGUGAAAUGCGCAGAGAUAUGGAGGAACACCAGUGG
Molecule: ribosomal RNA, 490 nt
Filed under: Staphylococcus aureus
Lineage: Bacteria; Bacillati; Bacillota; Bacilli; Caryophanales; Staphylococcaceae
Description: bacterial SSU rRNA
Rfam family: Bacterial small subunit ribosomal RNA
Source: RNAcentral